UGGCUGAGAUGGUAAAGUGUCUGCCUACAAUGCAGGAGACCCGGGUUCAAUCCCUGG
This is a transfer RNA of Ovis aries (sheep), 57 nucleotides long. It matches the Rfam family "tRNA", at positions 8 to 63 of the family's 71-position model. From Rfam's summary of the family: Transfer RNA (tRNA) molecules are approximately 80 nucleotides in length. The record is from Rfam. NCBI's taxonomy places the organism in Eukaryota, Metazoa, Chordata, Mammalia, Artiodactyla, Bovidae.